This 79-nucleotide small RNA is filed under the name Staphylococcus hominis. Lineage: Bacteria; Bacillati; Bacillota; Bacilli; Caryophanales; Staphylococcaceae. The record is from RNAcentral.
CUACAUACAACCGCUCAAAUACAGGUUUAAGCGUUAAAAUGUUAUAUUUUAUCACCUGUAUAUGGCGUGACUUAUAAUU